Molecule: ribosomal RNA, 446 nt
Filed under: uncultured bacterium
Lineage: Bacteria
Description: partial 16S ribosomal RNA
Rfam family: Bacterial small subunit ribosomal RNA
Source: RNAcentral
CCUACGGGUGGCAGCAGUCGAGAAUCAUUCACAAUGGGGGAAACCCUGAUGGUGCGACGCCGCGUGGGGGAAUGAAGGUCUUCGGAUUGUAAACUCCUGUCAUAUGGGAGCAAAAUAAAAAGAUAGUACCAUUAGAGGAAGAGACGGUUAACUCUGUGCGAGUAGCCGCGGUAAUACAGAGGUCUCAAGCGUGGUUCGGAUUCACUGGGGGGAAAGGGUGCGUAGGCUGUUACGUAAGUCGUGUGUGAAAGGCGGGGGCUUAACCGGUGAAAUGCAGAUUAAACUGGGAGCCUAGAGUACUGGAGAGGGGAGUGGAAUUCGCGGUGUAGCAGUGAAAUGCGUAGAUAUCAGGAGGAACACUGGUGGCGAAGGCGGGUUACUGGACAGUAACUGACGCUGAGGCACGAAAGUGUGGGGAGCAAACAGGAUUAGAUACCCUUGUAGUC